Molecule: ribosomal RNA, 119 nt
Filed under: Pteropus vampyrus (large flying fox)
Lineage: Eukaryota; Metazoa; Chordata; Mammalia; Chiroptera; Pteropodidae
Source: RNAcentral
GUCUACGGCCAUGACACGCUGAACGUACCCGAUCUCGUCUGAUCUUGGAAGCUAAGUAGGGUCGGGCCUGGUUAGUAUUUGAAUGGGAGACUACCUAGGAAUACCAGGUGUUGUAGGCG